RNAcentral lists this ribosomal RNA (301 nucleotides) under uncultured bacterium. Its description in RNAcentral is "partial 16S ribosomal RNA". It matches the Rfam family "Bacterial small subunit ribosomal RNA", at positions 509 to 807 of the family's 1533-position model. The record is from RNAcentral.
CAGUAGCCGCGGUAAUACGGAGGGUGCAAGCGUUAAUCGGAAUUACCGGGCGUAAAGCGCACGCAGGCGGUUUGUUAAGUCAGAUGUGAAAUCCCCGAGCUUAACUUGGGAACUGCAUUUGAAACUGGCAAGCUAGAGUCUUGUAGAGGGGGGUAGAAUUCCAGGUGUAGCGGUGAAAUGCGUAGAGAUCUGGAGGAAUACCGGUGGCGAAGGCGGCCCCCUGGACAAAGAUUGACGCUCAGGUGCGAAAGCGUGGGGAGCAAACAGGAUUAGAUACCCGAGUAGUCCCUGUCUCUUAUAC